ACGCUAGCGGCAGGCCUAAUACAUGCAAGUCGGACGGGAUUCAGGGAGUAGCUUGCUACGAACUGAUGAGAGUGGCGCACGGGUGCGUAACGCGUGAGCAACCUACCCAUAUCAGGGGGAUAGCCUCUCGAAAGAGAGAUUAACACCGCAUAACAUCAUUUACCGGCAUCGGUUAAUGAUCAAAUAUUUAUAGGAUAUGGAUGGGCUCGCGUGACAUUAGCUAGUUGGAGGGGUAACGGCCCACCAAGGCUACGAUGUCUAGGGGCUCUGAGAGGAGAAUCCCCCACACUGGUACUGAGACACGGACCAGACUCCUACGGGAGGCAGCAGUAAGGAAUAUUGGUCAAUGGAGGGAACUCUGAACCAGCCAUGCCGCGUGCAGGAUGACUGCCCUAUGGGUUGUAAACUGCUUUUGUCAGGGAAUAAACCUUUCUACGUGUGGGAAGCUGAAUGUACCUGAAGAAUAAGGAUCGGCUAACUCCGUGCCAGCAGCCGCGGUAAUACGGAGGAUCCAAGCGUUAUCCGGAUUUAUUGGGUUUAAAGGGUGCGUAGGCGGUCCUAUAAGUCAGUGGUGAAAGACGGCAGCUUAACUGUCGCAGUGCCUUUGAUACUGUAGGACUUGAAUCUAUUUGAAGUGGGCGGAAUAAGACAAGUAGCGGUGAAAUGCAUAGAUAUGUCUUAGAACUCCGAUUGCGAAGGCAGCUCACUAAGUUAGUAUUGACGCUGAUGCACGAAAGCGUGGGGAUCAAAC
RNAcentral lists this ribosomal RNA (751 nucleotides) under uncultured bacterium. RNAcentral describes it as "bacterial SSU rRNA". It matches the Rfam family "Bacterial small subunit ribosomal RNA", at positions 33 to 773 of the family's 1533-position model. The record is from RNAcentral.